This 248-nucleotide unclassified non-coding RNA is filed under the name Hevea brasiliensis (rubber tree). Lineage: Eukaryota; Viridiplantae; Streptophyta; Magnoliopsida; Malpighiales; Euphorbiaceae. The record is from RNAcentral.
ACGGGGAGAGAGAUGAGGAGAAUUCAACAAAUUACGCAAAAGGUUUAAGUCUUACAGAAGUUGGCGAGAAAAGACUCACGAGACCCUCAUUAACAACUUCUUCUACUCUGAAAGAAUAUGAUUAGAUUGGUUGUCUCUUUUGAUCCUAUCCAAAACUUCAAAUCCAAACAUAUUAUUUGAAAGAUAAAUUAGACGUUACUCCUUCAAAAUACAGCCGAGUGGGGCUCCCAGAACAGUGCCAAGACUGC